GGGCUUAACUGUCUCCCCCUUCCAGUCAGUGAAAUUGAUCUAUCCGUGCAGAAGCGGGUAUAAUAUUACAAGACGAGAAGACCCUUUGGAGCUUAAGGUACAAAAUUCAGCCAUGUUAAGCAACUCCACAGAAAGCAAGAACUUAAUGGCCAUGAAGUUUUACCUUCGGUUGGGGCGACCACGGAGGAAAAGCAAGCCUCCGAGUGGACUGGGCCAAGACCCCUAAAGCCAAGAGAGACAUCUCUAAGCCGCAGAACAUCUGACCAAUAAUGAUCCGGCUAAUAAAGCCGAUCAACGGACCAAGUUACCCUAGGGAUAACAGCGCAAUCCUCUCCCAGAGCCCAUAUCGACAGGGGGGUUUACGACCUCGAUGUUGGAUCAGGACAUCCUGGUGUUGCAGCCGCUAUUAAGGGUUCGUUUGUUCAACGAUUAAAGUCCUACGUGAUCUGAGUUCAGACCGGAGCAAUCCAGGUCAGUUUCUAUCUGUAACGCUACUUUUCCCAGUACGAAAGGAUCGGAAAAGAGGGGCCUAUACCUAACGCAUGCCCCACCCCUAAUUCAUGAAAACAAAUAAAUAAAAUAAGGGAGGGCCAAAACCCUGCCGCCC
This 607-nucleotide ribosomal RNA is filed under the name Hybognathus regius (eastern silvery minnow). RNAcentral describes it as "partial 16S ribosomal RNA". It matches the Rfam family "Bacterial large subunit ribosomal RNA", at positions 2008 to 2925 of the family's 2925-position model. The record is from RNAcentral. Lineage: Eukaryota; Metazoa; Chordata; Actinopteri; Cypriniformes; Leuciscidae.